RNAcentral lists this transfer-messenger RNA (341 nucleotides) under Lachnospiraceae bacterium. It matches the Rfam family "transfer-messenger RNA". Rfam says of the family: Bacterial tmRNA, also known as 10Sa RNA or SsrA, is named for its dual tRNA and mRNA-like properties. Its role is to liberate the mRNA from a stalled ribosome. Lineage: Bacteria; Bacillati; Bacillota; Clostridia; Lachnospirales; Lachnospiraceae. The record is from RNAcentral.
GGGCUUGUAAAGGUUUCGACGGGGAUCUUGAAGCUUUAGAAGCGAGCCGUAUGCAAUGCGUUAAAUGGCAAACCUAAAUAUAAACGCUAACGAAAAUUUAGCUUUAGCUGCCUAAUUGCAGCUGGUCUAACUUAGUGCACCUACACAUUAAGACCUAGGCCUCGACUAUGUAGGAAACGACGUGAGCAAAGCUUUGAGUUCAUGGGCGUAUUAUGAAGCUACUAAAGCCGUUUGGGUGUUUGUUAUCAUGCGGUGGAGGGAAUGUAAAACAACAAACUACGCUCGUAGAAGGAGAGUGAAUGGGUUUUCGGACGCGGGUUCAAAUCCCGCCAGGUCCACGA